GUAGGCUUUAACUUCAAACAGGCCCGACGGACUCACAAAUUAAAUGAGAAGAAUCAGCAUCCAGAGACUCGCUCUUCAGCUUUCCUCAAUGAGAAAACAUAACGCAGCGUGAGGCUUUUACAAGACGACCAGAGGGAUAGUAUCAGUGAAAGGCACUCAGUGUUCAGUUAUUAAUCUCCUGCCGCCGUUGGCCCUUUCAUAAAAGGAGGUUACUGCAGGAAGUCAAAAGUGUAUCUGGGUUUUCCAUCUUCAAUCCCUGUAGAGGUCACUGUUGCUUGGCACAGCUGAAAAACAACUGAAGCUCAAAAGGAAGGAGCACACGUCCAGAUGGCAGACUCUUAACUGAGCUUGGAUUAAUGGGAGGACGGGCAAGAACUGCA
This is a long non-coding RNA of Sinocyclocheilus grahami, 380 nucleotides long. RefSeq lists it as uncharacterized. The record is from RefSeq and is a predicted model, not a curated record. Lineage: Eukaryota; Metazoa; Chordata; Actinopteri; Cypriniformes; Cyprinidae. The transcript has 4 exons.